UUAGAGUUUGAUCAUGGCUCAGGAUGAAUGCUGGCGGCGUGCCUAAUACAUGCAAGUCGAGCGAAUGGAUUAAGAGCUUGCUCUUAUGAAGUUAGCGGCGGACGGGUGAGUAACACGUGGGUAACCUGCCCAUAAGACUGGGAUAACUCCGGGAAACCGGGGCUAAUACCGGAUAACAUUUUGAACUGCAUGGUUCGAAAUUGAAAGGCGGCUUCCGCUGUCACUUAUGGAUGGACCCGCGUCGCAUUAUCUAGUUGGUGAGGUAACGGCUCACCAAGGCAACGAUGCGUAGCCGACCUGAGAGUUUGUUU
Molecule: ribosomal RNA, 311 nt
Filed under: Bacillus thuringiensis
Lineage: Bacteria; Bacillati; Bacillota; Bacilli; Caryophanales; Bacillaceae
Description: bacterial SSU rRNA
Rfam family: Bacterial small subunit ribosomal RNA
Source: RNAcentral